GAGGGAUGGCAGAGCGGUUGAACGCGGCAGUCUUGAAAACUGUUAACCGAUUAUUCGGUUCGUGGGUUCAAAUCCCACUCCCUCC
This 85-nucleotide transfer RNA is filed under the name human oral metagenome. It matches the Rfam family "tRNA". Rfam says of the family: Transfer RNA (tRNA) molecules are approximately 80 nucleotides in length. The record is from RNAcentral.